UCUCGCCCUCCCCGAGGGGCAGUUCCCGAGGGCGGGAGCCCAUGCCCUGCCCCCGGGGAGCUGGGCGGUGGCGGCGGCGCCGUGAGGGGCCGGGGGCCGCAGCAGCGGCCGCCCCCACCCCCGGCGCGCAAGGGAGGCUCCCGGCCGGGGGCGGCGGUGGCGGGGGGAGGACUGAGGCUGGAAAGGUGCGUGCUCGGAUUGCCGGAGGGCCGGUCUCGACCCGUGCGUACGGAAAAGAAGCUGCCAUUUGUGACGAGCGUCUUACAACAAUCCAUUGA
RNAcentral lists this long non-coding RNA (278 nucleotides) under Parus major (Great Tit). RNAcentral describes it as "lncRNA (ENSPMJG00000014861.1)". Lineage: Eukaryota; Metazoa; Chordata; Aves; Passeriformes; Paridae. The record is from RNAcentral.